This is a long non-coding RNA of Xiphophorus hellerii (green swordtail), 83 nucleotides long. RefSeq lists it as uncharacterized. NCBI's taxonomy places the organism in Eukaryota, Metazoa, Chordata, Actinopteri, Cyprinodontiformes, Poeciliidae. The transcript is spliced from 3 exons. The record is from RefSeq and is a predicted model, not a curated record.
AAACAAGCUCUUACAUCUUGCUAAAAACUUACUUGCAAGUUAGUUUUGUCUUAUUUUAAAGAGAUAUUUGCACUAGAAACUAG